This 252-nucleotide ribosomal RNA is filed under the name uncultured bacterium. Its description in RNAcentral is "partial 16S ribosomal RNA". It matches the Rfam family "Bacterial small subunit ribosomal RNA", at positions 524 to 775 of the family's 1533-position model. The record is from RNAcentral.
UACGUAGGGGGCGAGCGUUGUCCGGAAUCAUUGGGCGUAAAGCGCGUGUAGGCGGCCCGGUAAGUCCGCUGUGAAAGUCCAGGGCUCAACCCUGGGAUGCCGGUGGAUACUGUCGGGCUCGAGUCCGGAAGAGGCGAGUGGAAUUCCUGGUGUAGCGGUGAAAUGCGCAGAUAUCAGGAGGAACACCAAUGGCGAAGGCAGCUCGCUGGGACGUGACUGACGCUGAGGCGCGAAAGCGUGGGGAGCAAACAG